UAAAGUUUUAUCCACUCAUAUGAACCACAUUAGUUAGCAAUAAUAACUUGUUGAAUCCAAACCAAUCAGUCGAAAAUGAUUGAACUUAGUUAUUAUUACUUGUGCUCAUGGUCUCUUAUAUAUCUAUUCACAAGCUCAUUUUCAUCCGAUAUAGUACUAUUGGGCUCUGUCAUAAGUAAAUUUUGACACCUACUUAACUUCAAAUUUUAGGUAAAGUUUGGUAGCACGUAUAAAUUAAUAUUAAGACGCUAGAAUGCUCAAAAAAUAGA
RNAcentral lists this long non-coding RNA (269 nucleotides) under Ananas comosus (pineapple). RNAcentral describes it as "long non-coding RNA (ACOM_LNC033084)". Lineage: Eukaryota; Viridiplantae; Streptophyta; Magnoliopsida; Poales; Bromeliaceae. The record is from RNAcentral.